UGCAAAGGUAGCAUAAUCACUUGUCUUUUAAUUGGAGGCUGGAAUGAAGGAGGCGACGAAAUUUAGGCUAUUGGUUUAUAAUAUAAAAUUAACAUAAAGGUUAAAAGGCCUUUAUAAAUCAAAGGGACGAGAAGACCCUAUAAAACUUUACUAUAAAUUAAAUUACUUAGGUGAGAUUUGUACUUAUAUAGUUUAGCUGGGGCGGUUUAUAUAAAAACAAUUGUAGAAGAAAUAUAUUGAAUAAGAUUUGAGAACUUUAAGAGGAAAUAAACAAGUUACUUUAGGGAUAACAGCAUAAUUCUCCCAGAGAGUCCUAAUUGGCGGGAGAGCUUAUGACCUCGAUGUUGAAUUGGGGCGUCUAAUACAAGCAGAAAUGUAUUAAGAUAGUCUGUUCGACUAUUAAAUUCCC
This 409-nucleotide ribosomal RNA is filed under the name Proasellus spelaeus. Its description in RNAcentral is "partial 16S ribosomal RNA". It matches the Rfam family "Bacterial large subunit ribosomal RNA", at positions 1949 to 2597 of the family's 2925-position model. The record is from RNAcentral. Lineage: Eukaryota; Metazoa; Arthropoda; Malacostraca; Isopoda; Asellidae.